GAACCGUCCGAACGUUAUUCGGAAUCAUUGGGCUUAAAGGGUGCGUAGGCGGUACGGUAAGUUGGGUGUGAAAUCCCUCGGCUUAACCGAGGAACCGCGCCCAAUACUGCCGCACUCGAGGGAGACAGAGGUAGGCGGAACUGAUGGUGGAGCGGUGAAAUGCGUUGAUAUCAUCAGGAACACCAGUGGCGAAGGCGGCUUACUGGGUCUCUACUGACGCUGAGGCACGAAAGCUAGGGUAGCGAACGGGAUUAGAUACCCCGGUAGUCCUAGCUGUAAACGAUGAGCACUUGAUCGGAGACUCCCUCCAUAGGUUUCCGGUCGCAGCGAAAGUGUUAAGUGCUCCGCCUGGGGAGUAUGGUCGCAAGGCUG
RNAcentral lists this ribosomal RNA (372 nucleotides) under uncultured organism. Its description in RNAcentral is "partial 16S ribosomal RNA". It matches the Rfam family "Bacterial small subunit ribosomal RNA", at positions 527 to 896 of the family's 1533-position model. The record is from RNAcentral.